UGAGGAAUAUUGGGCAAUGGGCGCAAGCCUGACCCAGCAACGCCGCGUGAAGGAAGAAGGCCCUCGGGUUGUAAACUUCUUUUAUUCGGGACGAAACAAAUGACGGUACCGAAUGAAUAAGCUACGGCUAACUACGUGCCAGCAGCCGCGGUAAUACGUAGGUGGCAAGCGUUAUCCGGAUUUACUGGGUGUAAAGGGCGUGUAGGCGGGAGAGCAAGUCAGACGUGAAAUUCCAGGGCUCAACCCUGGAACUGCGUUUGAAACUGUUCUUCUAGAGUGAUGGAGAGGCAGGCGGAAUUCCGUGUGUAGCGGUGAAAUACGUAGAUAUACGGAGGAACACCAGUGGCGAAGGCGGCCUGCUGGACAUUAACUGACGCUGAGGCGCGAAAGCGUGGGGAGCAAACAGG
Molecule: ribosomal RNA, 407 nt
Filed under: uncultured bacterium
Lineage: Bacteria
Description: bacterial SSU rRNA
Rfam family: Bacterial small subunit ribosomal RNA
Source: RNAcentral